GACAAGUAUAUAAAGAAACUAUUAUGGAUGGUUAGCUAUAUAUUUCAAGAUAUUUAUAUCUAGGCAACAAUAUAAACUAGAAAUCAUAGAGAAAUCUAAUUAUAAGACAAAGUGAAUUGAAAUAUCUUAGUAACUUUAGUAAAAGAAAUCAAACGAGAUUGUUAUUAGGUGUCUUCUUAAUAGCAAAAGCCUUAAUAAAUAAUUACUAUAUUUACCAAAUAUAGGUUAUAAUUGUUUAUAGUAAAUAUAUUAUAAAAUAUAUUUAAGUAUAACGGAAAAAAAUCUGUUGAAAAAUAGGGGAACCUUCCUCUAAGGCUAAAAAAAAUAUAUAAGCGAUAGAGUAACAGUACCGUGAGGGAAAUACCCUGAAAUAGUAGUUUUAUAAGCAGCUCAAGUUAAAAUUUAAAUAAAUAAUAAGAGCGUACCUUUUGCAUAAUGGGUCAGCAAGUUAAUUUUAGAUGCAAGUAACAUCUCUUUUAUAAGCAUUUACAUCUAGAACAUUAGACAUAAUGUCUAAUGAUAAUAUUGGUAUGUAAAUUUAUUAAUAAAAUUAGGAGGUAGAUACGUAGAUAAACCAAUUAUGAAAAAAUGAAUUAGUAUCUAGAAUUAGACCCGAAGGCUAGUGAUCUUACCAUGGUCAGGGUUAUAAAAGCCCGAACGGGUUAUCGUUGUAAAGAUAUCCGAUGAACUGUGGUAAGUUAGUGAAAGACAAAACUGACUAGUAUAGCUGGUUUUCCGCGAAACCUAUGUAAGUAGGUAAUUUAAUUAACAUCUUAGCAGGUACAGAACUGUGAUCUCGGACAAUAUCUAAGAUAUUUGUCAACAUCGGGGGGUUGUAGUGACUUUACCGGAGAGUAUUUGCACUCGGAAGGGCAAAGAUGAAUGUUAAAUAAUCGGACAUAGUGCGAUAAGGUUGUAUGUCUAAAGGGAAACAGCCCAGAACAAGAGUUAAGGUUCCAAAAUUAUUGUUAAGUGAAAUUAAGGAUGUUUUUUUUUAAAACAAUCAGGAAAUAGGCUUAGAAGCGGCCAUUUUUUGAAGACCUCGUAACAGAGCACUGAUUAAUAAAUUAGGUAAAAACGCCGAAAAUUUAACGGAUCUAAAUAAUAUACCGAAACCUUGUACACAAAUUAAAAUUAAAGUGCUGUGGCUUAGAUUAGAUCUUAAAUCUAAAUUAAAGCGCUGUGACUUAGGAUUUUUGUGGGGUAGCGGAACAUUGGAUUAAACAAAAUAUUAAUAUUUUUCUUAAAAUAUUAAAGAUCUUGCAUAAAGCUAUCUAAACUAAAUAUAUGAUUUAUUAUAUAUUGUGAUUGAUUAUUUAUUUAACUAUACUACAAUAUAAUAUAACUAAUUGAUUAUUUAUUUAACGAUAUAUUUUUAAAUUAGUUAUUUAGUGUGGGUUAUAUAGUAAAAUAAAAAAAGUUAGUAGUAGUAAAUAUAGUAGUUUAAAUGCUAUAUUACGAUUUAUGUGUAUCUGUUAAAUCCAAGAGAGAAUGCUGACAUGAGUAACGAAAAAGGCUUUUAGCCUCGCCUGAAGCUUAUGGUUUCAUCUAAAAUCGGUGUCUAAAAAAAUUAAUCAAAUGAUAAUUUUGAUGACGUUUUAUGCUUUUUUAUAUGAUAAUACCAAAACCUUUAACAAGUAAUAAAGGUUCUGGAAAAGUUUAUUUUAUUAUUUGAAGUGGAAAAUAUUUAAUACUCAUACUUAUUGGUAUAAAAUUGUAAAUUAUAAUAUAUAAUACAUACUUAUUAUAAUAUUAUGAUUUAUAAAUAUAAUAGAGUGAGUCAAAUAAUAAAUAUUUUAGAACCAAGUAAUAGUCUUUAUCUAUUAUAAUGAUAUUAUAGAUAAUAAUUAAUAAUUAAUUACCAUUAGAUUAUUAAUAUGUAUUUAUAGAUUAUAUAAUGAUUAUUAUAUAAAAUAUAUCUAUUAAAUGUUAUUAUUAAUAAUACUAUAAUAUAUAGAUUAAAGACAACUUUAUACUGGUAAAAAAAAUAAAAGAAAAAAACAAUUAAUAACCGUACCUAGAAACUAACUCAAGUAAGCAAGUAGAGAAUACAAAGGCGUUUGAGAGAACAAUCAUUAAGGAACUCGGCAAAUUGACUCUGUACCUUUGGAAUAAGGAGGACCAUUAUUAUUAAAUUUAACAUAUAGUAAAGUAUGAAAUUAAAUAUGAAAAAUUAAAUUAAUAAUAAGAGGAAUCAUGAAAUAAUGUUGUACGACUGUUUAAUAAAAACACAGCACUCUGCAAAGAUAAAAAAUCAAAGUAUUGAGUGUGAUGUCUGCCCAAUGUCGGCUGGGUAACGGAUCUACCUUGAUUAUUAACUGAGGUUUUGAAGGACACCCCGAUUAAUGGCGGCCUUACCUAUGAGGGUCCUAAGGUAGCGAAAUACCUUGGCCGUUAAAUGCGGUCCUGCAUGAAUGACUUAACGAUGCAACAGCUGUCUCGAUGAUUGUCUCAGUGAAAUUGGAAUAGCAGUGCAGAUACUGUUUACCUCUAGAUAGACGAGAAGACCCUAUGCAGCUUUACUGUUACUAAUUAUAGGAGUGAAAUUUUAGGAUGAUUUAUAGUGUAUAAGGUAGUUGUUUAGAUAAUAAUGAAACACCUUUAUUCGAAUCCUUAUAUAUACUCUUAAUGAUUAGAAGGCAGUUUAUGCGGGGCACAGAUCCCACAAAAAGUACCUGGGUAUAUCCAAAGUUCAUAUUGUAAACUUGUAUAUUUAUAUACAAAUAUUUUAAUUUGUUCUAAUUAUUAUUAUAAUUAUACAGUUAUUAUUCGAUUAAAUUCCACAAUUAUUUUUUAUUUUAAGUAAGAUUUUAACUAUGCGGUGAAUAGAUGUAUUUUAAACUUUACUGGACUUUGUUCUAAUUUUAGUUCAAAGAUUUAAAAGUUUAUUUGUUAUAUUAAUAAAGUAUUUGUCUUUAUUAAUAUAAUGUUUAACUAUACUUUAAAAGUUUAAUGGCUAAAUCUUGCUUUACUGUUUGACCUACAAGUCUAUCAGUCGCGUAAGCGGGGCAUAUGAUCACAAGAUGCAUUAAGGAAAGGUCUUGGAUUAUAGAAAAAGUUACGCUAGGGAUUUAUAACUGUGAGUCCUCCAAUAUUAUAAAAUAUUGGUAAU
Molecule: ribosomal RNA, 3112 nt
Filed under: Penicillium nordicum
Lineage: Eukaryota; Fungi; Ascomycota; Eurotiomycetes; Eurotiales; Aspergillaceae
Description: Bacterial large subunit ribosomal RNA
Rfam family: Bacterial large subunit ribosomal RNA
Source: Rfam by way of RNAcentral